UUUUUUUUUUUUCUUCUACCUGUGUCUUAUACUAAUUAUUUCACUUCAUAAUCACUGGCUAAUGUUGGACAUUUAUGCCCUUUUAAGCCUCUAAUGAAAUAUAUAAACUCCAUGGGAAAACUGUUCUCAGGCCAUUUUAUCAGCCAAUAGGUAAGUGGAGAAACAUCUUAAACUCCCCAAAUGCAGAAAACCUCAUUGGAUAUUUGUUGGAAUUGCCUCUAAUUCUAGAACCUGCCACUGCAUUUUAUAACAUAAAUUCUUUGGGUACUCUUCCGUCACUCUUUUAAAAAUCUGUGAGGAGUUCCAGAAAAGAAUGGCUUCUUGAUUCUCAAAUCUGAAAUUCCAGUGACUGCCUUUGCAAUGGCUGCUGCUUCUAGUCAUCUUGAAAUGGAAAUCACAACAAAAGGUUUUUUCCUCCUUCUUUAGGAAGCCACCGAAUACUCUGCACAAAAGCCAGAAAUUCCUGAAAUGCCGAGCAAGGAGGAUGAGGAACAGAAACAGCCAGGGGAUGUGUUUUGCCCUCCUAACUAAAACAAUAGCGAUUUAAGGAGCUAUCAUAUAGACACUUGAUGAAUCCUUUUAUUAUCUCUGAAAGAUUCCCCUGUUGCAGCCUGCUUUUGUGGGUAAAGAGCUAUAUAUUGGUACAUGCAGCUCAUAAUUAUGUCAGCCUAACCACAGCUAACAUUGACAGCCUAAAACAUUAAAGAUUUUUAUACAGCUAGAGCCGAAUACAGCUUCUUUUAUUGGCUCAGAGAGCAGGUAUCAAUUAUAAUGAGGUAAUAAAAUUUGCAGGCACUGUUCACAUCCUGCUCUGAUUUCUUUCCCCUCCUUAAGAUAAUAAGAGCAGAAAAAGGAGAAAAAUCCUCCUAGCUCUCACUUAUCACUGAUUCCUCGAAAGCCCUCGCGUUGGGAGGCUGGAGUGCCAUAAAGCUGUUUGCUUCUUUGAGUUUUCCUACUGGCAAAGCCUUCCUUCCUAAGCAGAAGCUGCAAAUUCCAGAAGCACACCUAACAAGUCAGAGCACCCAGGCCCCAGGAUUAAUGGUUUCCAUUUGCAUAACUGUAAGUUUCAGGCGGUCCUCCCAAGCCUGCAUCCUUGAAAUUGCACUUCCUGAUGAGAUGCAAAAUCCUCUAAAAGGGUUCCUCAACCUAAACCAAUUUGUAAAGUUGUUUUGUUAUUUAGAACAUUAAAGAAAUUAAAGUGAUCGGAAUAUAAUUAGAUUAAUAUUCAUAUCUUCCAAGUUGCUUUAAUUCUAAUAUUAAAAAGAUUAAAUAUCCACUCAGAGGAUUAAGCAAAAAGUCAAGCAGUAGCAACACAUUUACAUUACCUUACUGUGCAAAUUAUAAACCUAAUUAAUCUAAAGUUUCCUGCAAAUUGAAUUGGAGAUUCAUUCACAGGCUCACACAACUUUAGGUCCUUAAAAUGCACUUGCAUGCUGUUUCCUUUGCCUGGACCCAGGAGCUGGGCCAUGCUUCUGUGAUGUACGAAUCCCAUUAGAACGGCUUCAUUUGGGUUCUAAUUGGUGGAAAUUAAAUCUCAACAUAAAUUUAUGUAGGAAAAAAAAAAAAAAACUAAAGACUUCGUAAUUAUGUACGUCUGCAAUAAUAAAACUCAUUCUGCCCUCCGCAUCUAGUUGCCACGGAUAACAUGGCAAAAGCAACCCAGUUGUGCGCCUUCAUAAAAGCUCUGAGUUCACGUUUUCUCCUCAUAUGUAGCAGAGAAGAUGAUCAAGAGGGUUCGUCCUUUGGGGUUUUUUUCAUGGUCCAUAACGACAUGCGUCCAAUGACGUUGGUCUGCAGCGGUGUCCUCCCCACCCCCACCCACUUCACCACCUCCCGUGACCCCUUCCAUCGCACGCAUAUUCCCAGGGGCUCCCUGAGUCAGGGGGAGCAACCGUGCAGGUUUCAGAUCAAGUCCUGAUAGACAAGUUGUCCCCUUCCUGCUGUCCGGGCCUUAAGCCAUCUACUGGCAAUGGUAAUACUGAGGCACUUCCAGGGUUCUCAGCUCUCCAAGUGCUUCCCCUGGGUUAGGAGGGUGAACUGGUUGCCAUCAGAACACCUUCCCAUGUGCCGGCUCUCUCUUUCCAGGCAUGGGGUAGGGCUCAUUUCUGCCAGUGAAACCGGACAUGGCCCUGUGGGGCGUCUGGGUGCAAGAGCCUGUCUGUGUCCCCCAUAUCUUGUUCUUAGGAAGAACAAGAAGGGGGCCUCGUUCAGCCUCCAUGGAACUUCCCUGAGCUCCUAGGGACAGGUUCAGACAGGUGCUGAUUGGGGGAGGGAAGAACAGUCAAGAAACGACAGCACAGCCUUGGGGCAGGAUCCUGGUGCCCUCUCAGGGGAUACGCAUAAUAACAUAGGCAUCUUAUACACCUAAGAGAAAAGGUAUAUUCCUUAUGCUUCUUUUAGCCAUGAAUAAAGAGUCCUUUCUUGUCCUUCUCCCUGGCUUAAUCGCACCCUAAACGCAAUCACCCAGAAGCUCAAGAUGAUGUACCCUGAGCUUAACUGCCUGUGGAUUAACGAUUAUUAUUAGCACAUGAUGCUUUUUAGGAACGUUCCUGGUUUGUUCGAAUUUCCAAUCCAUAUGCCCUUUUCGCGAAUACUGUUAUUCGAGGCAAUAACUCAGAAAACCACCAUUAGCAUCAGGCUGAGAUCUCCCAACUCCAGCUUUGAUGACUAAGAGUCUCCCAAAGAAAGAAGAAUGCAUGUUUGUCCCAAUCCUGAUUCCUAUCUGAAAACAUGUUUUUCCCCUUUUUACUAUAAAACUCCUUGCAGUUCUUUCUUUUUUGUAAUUUUUUUAAAAGAUUUUGCUUUUUAGGGUCGAACCCAUGGCAUAUGGAAGUUCCCAGGCUAGGGGUUGAACUGGAGCUGCAGCUGCUGGCCUACACCACAGCCACAGCCAAGCAGGAUCCAAGCCAUGUCUGUGACCUACACCACAGCUCACGGCAACACGGGAUCCUUAACCCACUGAGCGAGGCCAGGGAUCGAACCUGGGUCCUCAUGGAUGCUAGUUAGAUUUGUUUCCACAGAGCCAAUGGGAACUCCUCCUUGCAAUUCUUUCCAUGGGGCGGUGCGGUGCAGGCAUUAGCCCGCUGGGACCCUCUUUGGCCUGGCAAAGCAAUAAAGCUACUUUUUUUUUUUUUCCUCCUUUACCCAAAACCCUGCCUCUGCGUUUCAGUUUGGUACCAGCAGACAGAGGCUGAAUCCCAGCAAUGCCAACACAAGGUGAGUUGUGGUCAUCCAACUGCUUUCGGCCAAGAAGAUGUGAGGAGAAGAGGUAAAGGUUUCUUUCGAGCAGACGCUUUAAGGACCAGCAUAUGCUUUCUCGUGUUCGCCUUUUCCUCUGCCGUGGAAACCAGCAACAUUUCAGAAAGCGAUUUUUCUAUCAACCUAAGUCCUGGAGUUAACAGGAUGCCUCACAAUGGACACAGAAUAAGAGCAAGAAAUAAAACUGUGUUUUGAGGUCCUGAGUUUUGGAGCGUUAUUCGUUUCCUCAGCAAAUGUGGCCUCUGCUGCCCAAUGUAGCUUCUUAGAACUAACACGUUAGUUAGAGGAAGGUACCACUGAAUUGAUGAUAAAACAAACUCUAUGUCCCUAAACCUCUAUUCCUUCAUCUGUAAAACUGGAACAACACAGUACAUUUUUUUCCCACAGCUGCUUGAGGUAAUAUUGAGAUAAUUAAUUGAGAUAAUAUAUAUAUAUAUAUAUAUAUGCAGCACUUAGCUCAUGAAAAUUCUCAAUAAACAGUAGCUCCUAUUAUGAUGACCCCACCACGCUACCCUACUCGGAAGUAAAACUCAGUACAAAUCAUCCAACAGCUGGAAGAAGAGGGUGCCAUUCAAGGAGUUUGUGGUGGAGACAGGCCAGCUGUUCACUAAUCCACUCUCCUUGCUUUUGCUGCCCACGGGGAACACGUCCCAGCCUCCCUUGCAGUUAGGCUUCGUCACAUGACCAAGGUUUAGCCGAUGGGAUGGGAGAGGAAGCAACUUGCGCCACUUCCAGGCCUGAGCCAAUGAAGCUGACGUGCCUGAUAUUCCACGAGCUUUCUUCUUCCAGAAUGAAUAAUGAAGCAACCUGCCAAAGGAUCUGUGCAUCGUGGAGAAACCACGGAAUGGGAGGAGCCUGGGUCCCUGAAUCACCACUUGGAGGAGAGUGUCUUGCUGGUCAGAACAGCUUGCUCUGGACUUUAGGUUGAAGCAGAACAAAUUUUGCUUGUAUUUAAAACACUUAGGUCUUCUUAAAGUCACCCAUACCUACUGCAGAAGUCUUUAGUGAGUCCAUUUCCCAAGAAAAGCCAAAGUAAACUAACCCUUAGUCCUCUAAGGACAACUUCUCCUCCCAACAGAUUCAAACUUCAAGCCACACAAAUAUUAACUUCUCAGCAUGAAACAACGCAAGGAGCAGGAAUGGGAUUCGUGUCUACUUAUUUUAUUGUUGUGAUGAUAACAAAUAUAAUGACUACAGCUUCCUUGGGAAUAAUCCUGCUAUUAGCGGUAACAGGAAAGGCUGGGACCUGCGAUUUCGGUGAGUGUCCUGGGUUCAUUCAGGGCUGCUAAUGUGGGCUGUAAUUCCUCAUUUCUCCUCCACGGCAUUGCUUUUUAUGGAAUUUAUAUUGACGAAUGCAGGUGAUAACUGUCAGCUCACCUGGGAAAGCCCAGCGUGAGAAGCUGAACCACUCGUCUUGUGUUUUCUGAAGAGGGAGAAGGUCUGGGCAGCUCACCCUUAUCUCCAACUUCCUCUCUUACCCCCACAAUCUUCCCUCACCUACAAGUUUUGCCAGAUCAGUGGUUUUCGUUGUAAAUCAAACGACAGCACUCCUGUCCUUACAGAGCUUCAACAACUUCUUAUUCAGUUUAGAUGGAGGCAAAAAGUCUUGGCGGACUCCCAUUCUUCCUCUUCCUGGGGUCCAUGCCCUUCCCUGUGUAACCCUGCACUGUCUUCCUUUCCUGAGUUCCUCAGAUGACUUGUUUUGGGCAAUGGAAUGUGGUAGAAAGCAUAGGCAUGCCGGUUCUGAGUGUAGACAGACCCCAAAAGACAUCAUGUUAUUUCAGCUUGCUAUCUUGGGCUUCACCACUGUCAUGAGAAAUUUACAUAUGCUUGAGCCCUGCUGGUCCCUGGAGGAUGAGAGACAUGGGGGAGAAUCACCCUAAACAAGGUGUCCCCUUCAUGUCCCACCUAGGGCAAAAGCCCCAGUUGACACAAGGAUGCAUGAACAAGACAGCCGACACAUAGGCAAAGGAGGAGACCCCUGGGUCCAGCAGGACCAGCAGAACAGUGCAGCCAAGCCCAGGCUAGUUUCUCUGAACUCCACAGACACAUGAGAAGUAAAUUUGGUCCCUGAUUUGGGGCAUGCUUUGUUACACAGCAAUCGCAACCCCAGGGCUGGCCGACAAUUCAUCUUUCAAGCUCAAGUAAGCCAUUUCGCUCCAUCUCAUCCCACAGUUCCAACAUGCGCUUUGCUCCAUGGCGCCUCCAUCUAGUUCCAGACAUGAUCUGCUCUUUCUUCUCCUGGAGUCUGUGCCUGGACGGAUCCCCUUAAUGGAGCCCUCAUACUACGCUGUGCCCUCUCCCAUCACUACGCAUCACUACUGCUCAUUAUUCAUCUCGCGACUCAAAUGCAACAGCAGAAGCCCCACCCCAUGACUGCACCAUCUAAACUUGGCCUCCAUGGUCACUCACCUUGGGAAGUCCCCAGUGCAAAGCAAAUGGGUUACAGAUGUGCCAAGAUACCGAUGCCCUUUGGGGUGUUGGAGCUGCCAGGUGCCAGCCCUGAGCAGCCUCAUCCAUUCAACUUAGUGGCACUAAACAUGCUGCGUGUGUGCCCUGGUGUGCCAAAGAUGGCAAGUGCUGCUUACACAACUAUGUUGACUUCUCUCCUAUCACCUGCCAUGGUCUAAAAUUACCUUCUGGCUUCCAAAACCCAAAUGAUUUGUAUAUAUUCUCUGCCCCCACCCACGAGACAAAGGGUAGGGCAAAUCCGGCUCCCGGGCUGUUUUUAUAAAUAAAGUUUUAUUGGCACACAGCCACACCUAUCACUUAUGCAGUGGUCAUGGCUGCUUUCUCACUACAAUAAGGCAGUAAAGCAUUGGCAACACAGCUUGUAUGAUCUCCAAAGCCUAGGAUAUUUACUCUCUAGUCCUUUACAGAAACAGUUUGCUGACUUUUGCAUUAGAUUAUAAAUGGUCAGAGGACAGAAAUCUUCUCCGUUUUGGUCACUUUUGAAUCUCUUGCACUUUGGAUGGUGCCUGCCACCUCAUGGGUCCUCAGUGCCUGUUUUCCUGUGGGAUGGAUGAAUCUGGACGCCAGCAGAUACUGGUUUUUAACUCCCAUCUCCGCACAAGGCCAAGGGCCCCUCAAUGGGUCAAACUGCAUCUCAGCCCUGGAACAUAGGACGGCUACCAUGCUAGUGACCACAAAGUGGCCGUCGGAUUUCUCAGAAAGAAAACACACAGGCUGCCUCGACCGGUGGGAGAAGGAAUGCUUGGUCUGCAUCUAUAGCAGCCGAGACAAUUUGAAAGUAUGAAGAAAUGUGAAAAACUCAAAGUUUAAUUUACUUGAAUAAGCAAUUGAUGCUUUGGAGUAUAAUUAUCAGAAGAAAAAAAAAAAAAAA
This 6601-nucleotide long non-coding RNA is filed under the name Sus scrofa (pig). RNAcentral's name for it is "lncRNA (ENSSSCG00040002065.1)". Lineage: Eukaryota; Metazoa; Chordata; Mammalia; Artiodactyla; Suidae. The record is from RNAcentral.